UUGUGGAGGAGGACGCCGAAGGUGGGGCUAAUGACUGGGGUGAAGUCGUAACAAGGUAGCCGUACCGGAAGGUGCGGCUGGAUCACCUCCUAACAGGGAGACAACAAAAUGUUUAAUAUUAUUAUUUUGUCACCUUAGGUCGAUCGGUAUCUCACGUUUUUAAUUUAUUAAAAAUUUCAUUUCCUAAGUUUUUCUAGGUCACACCCAUUAUUUUUCCUGGGCCAUUAGCUCAGGUGGUUAGAGCGCACCCCUGAUAAGGGUGAGGUCCCUGGUUCAAGUCCAGGAUGGCCCAUAUCUCUAUGUUGGGGGUAUAGCUCAGUUGGUAGAGCGCCUGCUUUGCAAGCAGGAUGUCAGCGGUUCGAGUCCGCUUACCUCCACUGAUUACCACCUCUUCCAUAUUUGUAUAAAGGAAAUGUUUUGAGUUGUGAUCAAAUUCUGAACGAAUCUAGCUUCCUAAUGAAAGUAUUAAGAUGCUGGACUCAUUGAAUUAAUUUCUUUGUUUUCAGAGAACCUUGACAACUGCAUAGAUUAUUUUCAAAGACAAUUAAGCAUCUUUUAUGAUGCAGAUUUAUUAUUUGUGCGAAUGCAUUAAUAACAAUUCUAUUAAGCUGAUGCUUCAAUUUUGAAGUUAUUGGUCAAGCUACAA
RNAcentral lists this unclassified non-coding RNA (646 nucleotides) under uncultured Prochlorococcus sp. Its description in RNAcentral is "partial 16S-23S ribosomal RNA intergenic spacer; may also contain 16S ribosomal RNA and 23S ribosomal RNA". The stretch from base 305 to 377 matches the Rfam family "tRNA". The record is from RNAcentral. Lineage: Bacteria; Bacillati; Cyanobacteriota; Cyanophyceae; Synechococcales; Prochlorococcaceae.